GCCAUGGGAUAAUACAGCAAGAAGGCCUACACCAGAAGCCAACAUCACACUUUUGGACUUCUCAGCCCCAGAACUGACUUUACCAAAGGGUACAAGAAUGAGCUAACACACUCCAAGACUGUGACAUUUUUCUACGUGAGUCAAGGCUGAACUUCCAUGUUAUUGUCUCCUGUAUACAGAGCAGGAAGCUAAGACUCAAAGAGAUUAAAUAGCAAUUCCGAUCAGUAAAAAGCAGAGCACAGACAUGAAUGAGUUUAUCCUAUUUCAAAAUUAUUAUUCUUUUUUAAAUUUCAUCUUUAUAACUUUUUUAUUUCUAACUACAGAAGUAAGUACAUAAGCAUGACGGAAAAAUUGGAAUAUACAGAAAUGUAUUUUAUAUUUCUUUUCAGUCUCUCUUUCAGAACACACAAAAACACAUGUAGUAUUUCAUCAGGAUCGGUCAUAACAUGUUCUUUCCACUUCUCUACAAAGGUACAGAAUUCUCACCCUCAAGCAGGAAGAACAGCCCCAAGAAUUCCAGGUUGCCAACAGUUUAUUAAUCAAGUGAAAGCAAACUCAAAAUUUUCUCAAGUGAGCUUAUAUUUCACUGUGUUAAUUUUCAGAUAGCCCAUUAUAAUUUAAUAAUACACACACAAGAUUAAUUGAAAUUUAAAAAUAUUUCUGUUUUGUACCUGAUUUCAGAAAUGGUACUAGGGUAUAAUGAAUGUAAAGUCUAACUAAAGAACGAACAAUCCCAGCCACCAAAAAGACAAUCAAUAGAAAUAAAAUAAAGUCCAAUAUCCAAUAUUCAUCCAUUCAUUUAUCAUUCAACAAGUAAUUUUGAGUACCUGUCAUGGGCCAGACUUUGUUUUGGGGCCCAAGGAUAAAACUGUAAACAAAUAGACAAAUUCCCUGCCUUCAGAGAGCUUACACUCCACUAAGGAGAAACUGACAAUAAAUAAAUUGAGAAAAUAUCAGGUUGUAAUAAGUACUGUGGAGAAAAAUAAAUCAGGAUAAAAGGAUGGAAAGUGCUGAGGAAGGAAGUUGCUUUUUUAUGCUAUGUAUUACCUCAGAAUGCCGUAACAAAAUAUCACAGACUGGUUAGCAUAAACAACAGACAUGUAUUUUCUCCCCAUUCUGGAGGCUAGAAGGCCAAGAUCAGGGUUCCAGCCGAUUCCAUUUCUGAUGAGGGCUCUCUUCUGACUGGCUGAUGGCCAAGUUCUUUCUAUAGCUUCACAAGGCCUUUUUUCAGUAUUUGCUGGAGGAGGGAGAGAGAGUGAGCUCUCUGGAUUCUUUUCUUAUAAGAACACUAAGCCAUCGAUAAAGGCCCCACCCUUCUGAUCUCAUUUAACCUUAAUUAGUUCCCUAUUCCAAAUACAGUCACACUGGGUGUUAGGGUUUCAAUAUUUGAAUUUUGGAGGGGUACAUGCCUUCAGUCCAUAACAUACAGGUUAUUCAGAGAAGACGUCCCUGAUAAGAUGUGGUAGCUAACUUUCAGGAUGACCCUCAGUGGGCCUCAUCUUCUGGUGUUCACACCCUUGGAUAGUCUCUUCCCAAAUAAAUUAGGAAUUGGGACUGGUCUCAAUGUGAUAGAGUCAAGGGCUGGUCUCAGUGCAACAGAGUAGAGCAGAGAUUAAGAUAUUUCACCUCUGAGGCUGGGUCAUAAAAGGCACCAAAGCUUCCACUCUGUUUUUUUGGAUCACUCUCUCUGGGACAAGCCAGCCUCCAUGGCAUAAGGACACUCAAACACCCUUGGGAGAAGACCAUGCGGGAAGGAAGUCAGACUUCCCACCAAGAGUACUAAUUUGUCAAACAUGUGAAUGAGCAAGCUUGCAAGUGGAACCUCCAGCCCCAGUAAAACCUUCGGAUAUCUGACUGCAGCUCCAGUUGAAGUUUGAACUCCAACCUCACUGGAAGCCCUUAACCAGAACCACUCUGCUGAACUGAUUCCAAAUUCUUGGCCCCAGAAAAGGUGAGAUAAUAAGUAUUUGUUGUUAUUUUAAGCCACUAAAUUUUGGAGCAAUUUGUUAUGCAGCAAGAGAGAAGUAAUGCAUAAAGUGACAUUGAGAGACCCAAAGGAAAUAAGCAAGUAAACUCUGCAUGUAUCUGGGAAUGAAGACUUUCAGGUAGAAGGAAAGUGUUAAGGCCACACAAUUCGAGCACAUGUGGCAUGUUGAAAGAACAGCAAAGAACACGGUGAGCCAGAAACAGAAUGAGCCAGGACAAGAAACAUAGGAGACUGGUCAGAGAGGAGGUAAAAGGUCAGAGCACACAGAGUCUCAGGUGUCUGCAACCCAACCACAAUGAUGUAUGAAGAAACAUUCACUUGGGAACAGCAUCUUGUUUGUUUAGAUGAAAUAUUCUGAUGAGCUUUAACUUUCAUGUCAUUGGAUCAUAUCAGCCACCUUGGUGAUAUCAACAACUCUCAUUCACAUACAAAUAACUCUUGUUUGUAUGUUUACAACUCCCAAAUUCAUAUUUCCAGUCUAGACUUCUCCCUGAACUUCAGUGUUCUAUACCCAAGGGCCUAGAAAACAACUCAUCUUGAUUGUCUAAUGGGCGUCUCCAACUUAUUGUGUCUAAAAUCAAAUUUCUGGACUUUCUUCACCUCACCCUCAACCUCUGAAAGUAAAACAAUCCAUUAUUUCAAGUACUCAAGCCAAAAACCUUUAAGUCUUUCUUUACUCUCCUCUUGUUUUCCUCUAUAUGCCCAUCAAAAAAAUCAGCAAAGUCUAUUAACACACUUUUGAAAAUGUAUCCACAACCCAACACUUCUUACCACCUCUAUCUCAAUCACCCUUCUCCAAGCCACUGCUAUUUCUAGUCUAGAUUAUGGUAUAAGCCUCUAACCAGUCCCUACAACCACCCUUUUCCUGCUAUAGUCUACUGCCAGCUCAGUAGCCAUAAAGAGAUCUGAUCAAACAAAUCAGAGCAUGCCAUUUCUCUGCCUCAGAUCCCCCAGUGUAUCCCCAUCUUGCUCAAUGUAAAUACCAAAAUCUUCAUAGGAUAAGGCCCCUCAGGAUCUUGCCUAAUUAUCUUUCCAAACUCAUCUCCCUUGAUUCUGGCCCUUGCUCACUCAGCUUCAGCCACCAUGGCCUCCUUGCUGUCCUAGAAACAAGCCAGGCACACGUCUGCCUCAGAAACUGUGCCCUGCUGUUCCUUUUGUCUGGAAUGCUCUUUCCUCAGAUAUACCCAAAAUUCACUCCCUUACCUCCUUUAGGCAUUUGCCCAAAUACUACCUUAUCAGCAAAAUCUUCCCUCACCACCCUGUAAAAAUUGCAGCACCCUCUCCAGAAUCCCUUAGCCCUUGUUUGUCUUAUUCUUGUACACAGCUAUUAUCAUUAUCUGACAUAUUAUACAUUUUAAUUAUUUAUUUGUUGUAUUUAUUUAUUUUGUCUGUCUCUGAUAUGGUUUGACUGUGUCCUUAGCCAAAUCUCAUCUUGAAUUGUAGCUCCC
This 3435-nucleotide long non-coding RNA is filed under the name Homo sapiens (human). Its description in RNAcentral is "HSALNT0052629". Lineage: Eukaryota; Metazoa; Chordata; Mammalia; Primates; Hominidae. The record is from RNAcentral.